This is a non-coding RNA of Pelobates cultripes (western spadefoot toad), 266 nucleotides long. The record is from the annotation of a GenBank genome assembly. NCBI's taxonomy places the organism in Eukaryota, Metazoa, Chordata, Amphibia, Anura, Pelobatidae.
GACAGUUUCAGCUAUUCACCACUAAUCAUACGCCACUUGCUUAAAAGAACACUGUAGGCACCCAGACCACUUUAGCUCAUUGAGGUGGUCUGGGUGCAUUGACCCAUGUCCCUUAACUCUACAGUGGUAAUUAUUGCAGUUUUUAGUUUCACGCUAUGCAUGAGGACCUCCAGUGUCAGAUUUUACCCAUAGGAAAGUAUUGCCGCACAUGCGCCCUAGGUCUCUCCCACCUGCUGACGUUGGAAGGGGAGAAGCGUAGGCGGAGC